GCCAGCGUGGUGGAGUGGUUUGCAAGUUGAACUAGGACCCUGAAGACCUGGGUUCAAAUCCCUGCUCAGCCA
This is a non-coding RNA of Phrynosoma platyrhinos (Desert horned lizard), 72 nucleotides long. Lineage: Eukaryota; Metazoa; Chordata; Lepidosauria; Squamata; Phrynosomatidae. The record is from the annotation of a GenBank genome assembly.